GCCAUCAUGCUGAAUAUACGGGUUCUCGUUAGAUCACCUGGGAAGCAAGCAUCAUUGGGCGCGGUUAGUACUCUGGGUGGGUGACCACCUGGGAACACUGCGUGCCGUU
RNAcentral lists this ribosomal RNA (109 nucleotides) under Caerostris extrusa. The record is from RNAcentral. Lineage: Eukaryota; Metazoa; Arthropoda; Arachnida; Araneae; Araneidae.